This 479-nucleotide ribosomal RNA is filed under the name uncultured Methylotenera sp. RNAcentral's name for it is "bacterial SSU rRNA". It matches the Rfam family "Bacterial small subunit ribosomal RNA", at positions 95 to 595 of the family's 1533-position model. The record is from RNAcentral. Lineage: Bacteria; Pseudomonadati; Pseudomonadota; Betaproteobacteria; Nitrosomonadales; Methylophilaceae.
GUGGCGAACGGGUGAGUAAUAUAUCGGAACGUAUCCAUUAAUGGGGGAUAACUAAUCGAAAGGUUGGCUAAUACCGCAUACGCCCUACGGGGGAAAGCAGGGGAUCUUCGGACCUUGCGUUAAUGGAGCGGCCGAUAUCUGAUUAGCUAGUUGGUGAGGUAAAGGCUCACCAAGGCGACGAUCUGUAGCUGGUCUGAGAGGACGACCAGCCACACUGGAACUGAGACACGGUCCAGACUCCUACGGGAGGCAGCAGUGGGGAAUUUUGGACAAUGGGCGAAAGCCUGAUCCAGCCAUUCCGCGUGAGUGAAGAAGGCCUUCGGGUUGUAAAGCUCUUUCACCGGUGAAGAUAAUGACGGUAACCGGAGAAGAAGCCCCGGCUAACUUCGUGCCAGCAGCCGCGGUAAUACGAAGGGGGCUAGCGUUGUUCGGAUUUACUGGGCGUAAAGCGCACGUAGGCGGACUUUUAAGUCAGGGGU